RNAcentral lists this ribosomal RNA (661 nucleotides) under Streptomyces exfoliatus. RNAcentral's name for it is "bacterial SSU rRNA". It matches the Rfam family "Bacterial small subunit ribosomal RNA", at positions 209 to 880 of the family's 1533-position model. The record is from RNAcentral. Lineage: Bacteria; Bacillati; Actinomycetota; Actinomycetes; Kitasatosporales; Streptomycetaceae.
GCUCCGGCGGUGAAGGAUGAGCCCGCGGCCUAUCAGCUUGUUGGUGGGGUAAUGGCCUACCAAGGCGACGACGGGUAGCCGGCCUGAGAGGGCGACCGGCCACACUGGGACUGAGACACGGCCCAGACUCCUACGGGAGGCAGCAGUGGGGAAUAUUGCACAAUGGGCGAAAGCCUGAUGCAGCGACGCCGCGUGAGGGAUGACGGCCUUCGGGUUGUAAACCUCUUUCAGCAGGGAAGAAGCGAAAGUGACGGUACCUGCAGAAGAAGCGCCGGCUAACUACGUGCCAGCAGCCGCGGUAAUACGUAGGGCGCAAGCGUUGUCCGGAAUUAUUGGGCGUAAAGAGCUCGUAGGCGGCUUGUCACGUCGGGUGUGAAAGCCCGGGGCUUAACCCCGGGUCUGCAUCCGAUACGGGCAGGCUAGAGUGUGGUAGGGGAGAUCGGAAUUCCUGGUGUAGCGGUGAAAUGCGCAGAUAUCAGGAGGAACACCGGUGGCGAAGGCGGAUCUCUGGGCCAUUACUGACGCUGAGGAGCGAAAGCGUGGGGAGCGAACAGGAUUAGAUACCCUGGUAGUCCACGCCGUAAACGUUGGGAACUAGGUGUUGGCGACAUUCCACGUCGUCGGUGCCGCAGCUAACGCAUUAAGUUCCCCGCCUGGGGAG